ACAUGCAAGUCGAGCGGUAGAGAGGUGCUUGCACUUCUGCAGAGCGGCGGACGGGUGAGUAAUGCCUAGGAAUCUGCCUGGUAGUGGGGGAUAACGCUCGGAAACGGACGCUAAUACCGCAUACGUCCUACGGGAGAAAGCAGGGGACCUUCGGGCCUUGCGCUAUCAGAUGAGCCUAGGUCGGAUUAGCUAGUUGGUGGGGUAAUGGCUCACCAAGGCGACGAUCCGUAACUGGUCUGAGAGGAUGAUCAGUCACACUGGAACUGAGACACGGUCCAGACUCCUACGGGAGGCAGCAGUGGGGAAUAUUGGACAAUGGGCGAAAGCUGAUCCAGCCAUGCCGCGUGUGUGAAGAAGGUCUUCGGAUUGUAAAGCACUUUAAGUUGGGAGGAAGGGCAUUAACCUAAUACGUUAGUGUUUUGACGUUACCGACAGAAUAAGCACCGGCUAACUCUGUGCCAGCAGCCGCGGUAAUACAGAGGGUGCAAGCGUUAAUCGGAAUUACUGGGCGUAAAGCGCGCGUAGGUGGUUCGUUAAGUUGGAUGUGAAAUCCCCGGGCUCAACCUGGGAACUGCAUUCAAAACUGUCGAGCUAGAGUAUGGUAGAGGGUGGUGGAAUUUCCUGUGUAGCGGUGAAAUGCGUAGAUAUAGGAAGGAACACCAGUGGCGAAGGCGACCACCUGGACUGAUACUGACACUGAGGUGCGAAAGGUGGGGGAGCAAACAGGAUUAGAUACCCUGGUAGUCCACGCGCGUAAACGAUGUCAACUAGCCGUUGGGAGCCUUGAGCUCUUAGUGGCGCACUAAACGCAUUAAGUUGACCGCCUGGGGAGUACGGCCGCAAGGUUAAAACUCAAAUGAAUUGACGGGGGCCCGCACAAGCGGUGGAGCAUGUGGUUUAAUUCGAAGCAACGCGAAGAACCUUACCAGGCCUUGACAUCCAAUGAACUUUCCAGAGAUGGAUUGGUGCCUUCGGGAACAUUGAGACAGGUGCUGCAUGGCUGUCGUCAGCUCGUGUCGUGAGAUGUUGGGUUAAGUCCCGUAACGAGCGCAACCCUUGUCCUUAGUUACCAGCACGUAAUGGUGGGCACUCUAAGGAGACUGCCGGUGACAAACCGGAGGAAGGUGGGGAUGACGUCAAGUCAUCAUGGCCCUUACGGCCUGGGCUACACACGUGCUACAAUGGUCGGUACAGAGGGUUGCCAAGCCGCGAGGUGGAGCUAAUCCCACAAAACCGAUCGUAGUCCGGAUCGCAGUCUGCAACUCGACUGCGUGAAGUCGGAAUCGCUAGUAAUCGCGAAUCAGAAUGUCGCGGUGAAUACGUUCCCGGGCCUUGUACACACCGCCCGUCACACCAUGGGAGUGGGUUGCACCAGAAGUAGCUAGUCUAACCUUCGGGGGGACGGUUACCACGGUGUGAUUCAUGACUGGGGUGAAGUCGUAACAAGGUAGCCGUAGGGAACCUGCGGCUGGAUCACCUCC
RNAcentral lists this ribosomal RNA (1481 nucleotides) under uncultured bacterium. Its description in RNAcentral is "bacterial SSU rRNA". It matches the Rfam family "Bacterial small subunit ribosomal RNA". The record is from RNAcentral.